UACGUAGGGGGCAAGCGUUGUCCGGAUUUAUUGGGCGUAAAGAGCGUGUAGGCGGUUAGGUAGGUCCGUUGUGAAAACUCGAGGCUCAACCUCGAGACGCCGAUGGAAACCAUCUAACUAGAGUCCGGAAGAGGAGAGUGGAAUUCCUGGUGUAGCGGUGAAAUGCGCAGAUAUCAGGAGGAACACCAAUGGCGAAGGCAGCUCGCUGGGACGGUACUGACACUGAGACGCGAAAGCGUGGGGAGCAAACAGG
RNAcentral lists this ribosomal RNA (253 nucleotides) under uncultured bacterium. Its description in RNAcentral is "partial 16S ribosomal RNA". It matches the Rfam family "Bacterial small subunit ribosomal RNA", at positions 524 to 776 of the family's 1533-position model. The record is from RNAcentral.